AUGAAACUCUAUGAUCAGUAUUUGUCUAGUCACCCCACUGUCCCUUCUUCUUCAAUCCAUACAGAAUUAGACUUGUAUUUGGAAGAAGCUUGUCUACCUAGAACACAAGAAUUGGAUAUCAUCAAUUGGUGGAAGGUUAGCGGCUCGAGGUUUCCUCCCUUGCAAAAACUUGCUCGUGAUAUAUUGCCUAUUCCCAUAACAUCAGUGGCUUCCGAAUGUGCGUUCAGCACUAGUGGCAGAGUACUCAGUGCACAUCGUAGUAGACUUACUCCUAAUGUGGCUGAAGCUCUCAUGUGCAUGCAAGCUUGGUCUUGUGCAGAUCUGUUAGGUAAUACGUUUUUCACUUGCACUUGUUUUUUAUUUUGCAAAGAACUCGCCAUUUACAUACAAAUGUUGGUUAUUUCAUCAGGUGGUUGGAAUUCUACACUCUUUUCGACAUUUCAGAGUGUUCUCGAGGAUGAAGAAGAGGAGAUGGAUGAGUCUACUUCAAUCAUCACCCAAGAGUGA
RNAcentral lists this ribosomal RNA (507 nucleotides) under Triticum aestivum (bread wheat). RNAcentral's name for it is "partial small subunit ribosomal RNA". Lineage: Eukaryota; Viridiplantae; Streptophyta; Magnoliopsida; Poales; Poaceae. The record is from RNAcentral.